CUACGGGAUGCAGCAGUGAGGAAUAUUGCACAAUGGGGGGAACCCUGAUGCAGCAACGCCGCGUAGAGGAUGACGCAUUUCGGUGUGUAAACUCCUUUUAUAUGUCAAGAAAAUGACGGUAGCAUAUGAAUAAGCACCGGCUAACUCCGUGCCAGCAGCCGCGGUAAUACGGAGGGUGCAAGCGUUACUCGGAAUCACUGGGCGUAAAGGACGCGUAGGCGGGUUGGAAAGUCAGGUGUGAAAUCCUACAGCUUAACUGUAGAACUGCACUUGAAACUUCUAAUCUAGAGAAUGGGAGGGGGAGAUGGAAUUAGUGGUGUAGGGGUAAAAUCCGUAGAUAUCACUAGGAAUACCUAAAGCGAAGGCGAUCUCCUGGAACAUUACUGACGCUAAGGCGUGAAAGCGUGGGGAGCAAACAGGAUUAGAUACCCGAGUAGUC
Molecule: ribosomal RNA, 439 nt
Filed under: uncultured bacterium
Lineage: Bacteria
Description: partial 16S ribosomal RNA
Rfam family: Bacterial small subunit ribosomal RNA
Source: RNAcentral